GAACCGUCCAAACGUUAUUCGGAAUCACUGGGCUUAAAGGGUGCGUAGGCGGUCCGGAAAGUUGGGUGUGAAAUCCCUCGGCUCAACCGAGGAAUUGCGCCCAAAACUUCCGGACUUGAGUGAGGCAGAGGUGAGCGGAACUUGCGGUGGAGCGGUGAAAUGCGUUGAUAUCGCAAGGAACACCAGUAGCGAAGGCGGCUCACUGGGCCUUUUCUGACGCUGAGGCACGAAAGCUAGGGUAGCGAACGGGAUUAGAUACCCCGGGUAGUCCUAGCUGUAAACGAUGAGCACUUGGCUGGAGGAGCUUCGGUUCUUCCAGCCGUAGCGAAAGUGUUAAGUGCUCCGCCUGGGGAGUAUGGUCGCAAGGCUG
Molecule: ribosomal RNA, 370 nt
Filed under: uncultured organism
Description: partial 16S ribosomal RNA
Rfam family: Bacterial small subunit ribosomal RNA
Source: RNAcentral